Molecule: ribosomal RNA, 429 nt
Filed under: Verrucomicrobiota bacterium
Lineage: Bacteria; Pseudomonadati; Verrucomicrobiota
Description: Verrucomicrobia bacterium partial 16S ribosomal RNA
Rfam family: Bacterial small subunit ribosomal RNA
Source: RNAcentral
UAGGGAAUCUUCCGCAAUGGACGAAAGUCUGACGGAGCAACGCCGCGUGAGUGAAGAAGGAUUUCGGUUCGUAAAACUCUGUUGUUAGGGAAGAAAAAAUGUAUAGUAACUAUAUACAAAAGAGACGGUACCUAACCAGAAAGCCACGGCUACCUACGUGCCAGCAGCCGCGGUAAUACGUAGGUGGCAAGCGUUGUCCGGAAUUAUUGGGCGUAAAGCGCGCGCAGGUGGUUUAGAAAGUCUGAUGGGAAAGCCCACGGCUCAACCGUGGAGGGUCAUUGGAAACUAAUAAACUUGAGUGCAGGAGAGAAAAGUGGAAUUCCUAGUGUAGCGGUGAAAUGCGUAGAGAUUAGGAGGAACACCGGUGGCGAAAGCGGCUUUUUGGCCUGCAACUGACACUGAGGCGCGAAAGCGUGGGGAGCAAACAGG